Molecule: non-coding RNA, 92 nt
Organism: Mycena metata
Lineage: Eukaryota; Fungi; Basidiomycota; Agaricomycetes; Agaricales; Mycenaceae
Source: the annotation of a GenBank genome assembly
GGCUUGAUAGCACAAUUGGUAGUGUGCCUGCGAUAAAUGAUUACUCUUCGAGUUGCCAGUAGAAGAUCCCUGUUCGAUUCGGGGUCAGGUCA